This 68-nucleotide transfer RNA is filed under the name Ictidomys tridecemlineatus (thirteen-lined ground squirrel). RNAcentral's name for it is "Spermophilus tridecemlineatus (thirteen-lined ground squirrel) tRNA". It matches the Rfam family "tRNA". Rfam says of the family: Transfer RNA (tRNA) molecules are approximately 80 nucleotides in length. Their secondary structure includes four short double-helical elements and three loops (D, anti-codon, and T loops). Further hydrogen bonds mediate the characteristic L-shaped molecular structure. tRNAs have two regions of fundamental functional importance: the anti-codon, which is responsible for specific mRNA codon recognition, and the 3' end, to which the tRNAs corresponding amino acid is attached (by aminoacyl-tRNA synthetases). tRNAs cope with the degeneracy of the genetic code in two manners: having more than one tRNA (with a specific anti-codon) for a particular amino acid; and 'wobble' base-pairing, i.e. permitting non-standard base-pairing at the 3rd anti-codon position. Lineage: Eukaryota; Metazoa; Chordata; Mammalia; Rodentia; Sciuridae. The record is from Rfam by way of RNAcentral.
GGUAUAUAGCUCAGUGGUAGAAUGCUUGCCUAACAUGCAUGAUGCCCUGGGUUCAAUUCUCAGUACCA